This 316-nucleotide ribosomal RNA is filed under the name uncultured bacterium. RNAcentral's name for it is "bacterial SSU rRNA". It matches the Rfam family "Bacterial small subunit ribosomal RNA", at positions 772 to 1079 of the family's 1533-position model. The record is from RNAcentral.
ACCGAAUAGAUACCCGGGUAGUCCACGCCGUAAACGAUGGAAGCUAGCCCGUUGGCAGGUUUACCUGUCGGUGGCGCAGCUAAACGCAUUAAGCUUCCCGCCUGGGGAGUACGGUCGCAAGAUUAAAACUCAAAGGAAUUGACGGGGCCCGGCACAAGCGGUGGAGCAUGUGGUUUAAUUCGAAAGCAACGCGCAGAACCUUACCAGCCCUUCGACAUCCCGGUCCGCGGUUAGGUAGAGAUCCUAUCCUUCAGUUCGGCUGGACCGGUGACAGGUGCUGCAUGGCUGUCGUCAGCUCGUGUCGUGAGAUGUUGGG